UACGUAGGUGGCAAGCGUUGUCCGGAAUUAUUGGGCGUAAAGAGUACGUAGGUGGCAACCUAAGCGCAGGGUUUAAGGCAAUGGCUCAACCAUUGUUCGCCCUGCGAACUGGGAUGCUUGAGUGCAGGAGAGGAAAGCGGAAUUCCUAGUGUAGCGGUGAAAUGCGUAGAUAUUAGGAGGAACACCAGUGGCGAAGGCGGCUUUCUGGACUGUAACUGACACUGAGGUACGAAAGCGUGGGGAGCAAACAGG
This 252-nucleotide ribosomal RNA is filed under the name uncultured bacterium. Its description in RNAcentral is "partial 16S ribosomal RNA". It matches the Rfam family "Bacterial small subunit ribosomal RNA", at positions 524 to 776 of the family's 1533-position model. The record is from RNAcentral.